RNAcentral lists this ribosomal RNA (667 nucleotides) under Trebouxia sp. 1 LM-2014. RNAcentral describes it as "eukaryotic LSU rRNA". The stretch from base 208 to 361 matches the Rfam family "5.8S ribosomal RNA". The record is from RNAcentral. Lineage: Eukaryota; Viridiplantae; Chlorophyta; Trebouxiophyceae; Trebouxiales; Trebouxiaceae.
CUCCUUUUGGUGUCAGUUGACUUGAUUGGGCGGGUCCAAUAUCAGCCGGAUUCCCCUUGAGAGACUUUUGGGAGGCCUGACGGUCUCACCCAAUGGCUUGGGGUUCUGCCGGCUGUGAGGGGUGGCGAUUAACUCACAUUAAGCAAUCAACUCUAAAGACAGCUCGAUUGGCUAGCAUUGCUGGCUGUAGACUGAACAAAUACAGACAACUCUCAACAACGGAUAUCUUGGCUCCCGUAACGAUGAAGAACGCAGCGAAAUGCGAUACGUAGUGUGAAUUGCAGAAUUCCGUGAACCAUCGAAUCUUUGAACGCAAAUUGCGCUCGAGGCUUCGGCCAAGAGCAUGUCUGCCUCAGCGUCGGCUACUACCCUCAACUAAGUUUCCUAUGAAAGACUAGGGGAUGCCAGUUGGAUAUGGCAGUCCGGUUUGCCUUUCAGGUUGCCGGUCAGCUGAAAUAUAUUCACGCUCUGGGGGCUGCUUUCCUUGAUAGGCUACUUUCAAGGGGAGGCGAGUUCCGAUUUGGUAGGUGACCUUUGCCGGUUACAUGCCUUCGUUGCUCGCUAAGCGUCCCAGUAGUCGUUGUGCAGGACGCCUUUUGGCUUUCGACCUGAGGUCAGGCAAGAACACCCGCUGAACUUAAGCAUAUCAAUAAGCGGAGGAAAAGAA